RNAcentral lists this unclassified non-coding RNA (301 nucleotides) under Hevea brasiliensis (rubber tree). Lineage: Eukaryota; Viridiplantae; Streptophyta; Magnoliopsida; Malpighiales; Euphorbiaceae. The record is from RNAcentral.
GAGGUUCAGGUUGCCUGAGAAUGCUAAGAUGGAUAAUGUGAAAGCUAGCUUGGAGAAUGGUGUGCUUACUGUAAAAGUUCCCAAGGAAGAGAUAAAGAAUCCUGAGGUGAAGUCCAUUGAGAUAUCUGGCUAACUUUUAGUCCUAAUCUUCAUAUCCCAGCAGCUUCAGCAUGAGUUACCUCAAAUAAAGUGCGUGUGAGAUGUGCUUGUGAUUUUCUAUUUUUAUUUUUGUUAAAAAGGACUGGUGUGAGCUUCUUUCCAUAAAUAAAGGUUAAGAUUUGGUCAAGAAUUUCAAUUGGUU